Molecule: ribosomal RNA, 253 nt
Filed under: uncultured bacterium
Lineage: Bacteria
Description: partial 16S ribosomal RNA
Rfam family: Bacterial small subunit ribosomal RNA
Source: RNAcentral
UACGUAGGCAGCAAGCGUUGUUCGGAGUUACUGGGCGUAGAGGGUGUGUAGGCGGUUCUUUAAGUUUGGUGUGAAAUCUCCCGGCUCAACUGGGAGGGUGCGCCGAAUACUGAGGGACUAGAGUACGGGAGAGGAAAGUGGAAUUCCUGGUGUAGCGGUGAAAUGCGUAGAUAUCAGGAGGAACACCGGUGGUGUAGACGGCUUUCUGGACCGACACUGACGCUGAGACACGAAAGCGUGGGUAGCAAACAGG